GGAAUAUUGCACAAUGGGGGAAACCCUGAUGCAGCGACGCCGCGUGAGUGAAGAAGUAUCUCGGUACGUAAAGCUCUAUCAGCAGGGAAGAAAAUGACGGUACCUGACUAAGAAGACCCGGCUAACUAUGUGCAAGCAGCCGCGGUAAUACGUAGGGGGCAAGCGUUAUCCGGAUUUACUGGGUGUAAAGGGAGCGUAGACGGUUAAGUAAGUCUGGAGUGAAAGGCUGGGGCCCAACCCCGGGACUGCUCUGGAAACUAUUUAACUUGAGUGCAGGAGAGGUAAGCGGAAUUCCUAGUGUAGCGGUGAAAUGCGUAGAUAUUAGGAGGAACACCAGUGGCGAAGGCGGCUUACUGGACUGUAACUGACGUUGAGGCUCGAAAGCGUGGGGAGCAAAC
RNAcentral lists this ribosomal RNA (398 nucleotides) under uncultured bacterium. Its description in RNAcentral is "bacterial SSU rRNA". It matches the Rfam family "Bacterial small subunit ribosomal RNA", at positions 358 to 773 of the family's 1533-position model. The record is from RNAcentral.